UUUUAUUAAUCUCAUACACAUAAAUUGAUCUUAUAUGUUGAACUGGCUGAGCUGUACCACUCACCACUCUGUCUUAGGGUAAAAAAAAUAAAUCUACUUAAUGACAAGGUAAAGUUAAGGAGAAGAAUUUACUAAUCAUGUUGGCAUGUCAGAGCUCCCAGUGCUGCUCAAAGUGAUGUUCACUCCAGGGCUUCACAUUUUACAGCUCAACAUUGAAUGACAUUGUUGAAAUCUAAAGGCAGAUGAUUGUGUGGUCUGACCAAAGAGGUUUUUUAUUAUUAUUAUUAAAUGUAACUUGCUGUGAAAAUAGUCAAGAAUGUCUCCCUACAAGCCACCAAGACUUUGGACCACUAAGAGUACAUUCAACAUACUAAUGGAUGCAUUUCGGGCAGAAUACUUUUUCUAUUUUGUACCCAG
Non-coding RNA from Biomphalaria pfeifferi, 417 nucleotides. Lineage: Eukaryota; Metazoa; Mollusca; Gastropoda; Planorbidae. The record is from the annotation of a GenBank genome assembly.